RNAcentral lists this transfer RNA (78 nucleotides) under Candidatus Thorarchaeota archaeon. Its description in RNAcentral is "tRNA-Arg". It matches the Rfam family "tRNA". Rfam says of the family: Transfer RNA (tRNA) molecules are approximately 80 nucleotides in length. Their secondary structure includes four short double-helical elements and three loops (D, anti-codon, and T loops). Further hydrogen bonds mediate the characteristic L-shaped molecular structure. tRNAs have two regions of fundamental functional importance: the anti-codon, which is responsible for specific mRNA codon recognition, and the 3' end, to which the tRNAs corresponding amino acid is attached (by aminoacyl-tRNA synthetases). tRNAs cope with the degeneracy of the genetic code in two manners: having more than one tRNA (with a specific anti-codon) for a particular amino acid; and 'wobble' base-pairing, i.e. permitting non-standard base-pairing at the 3rd anti-codon position. The record is from RNAcentral. RNAcentral also lists the same sequence under 1 other name. Lineage: Archaea; Promethearchaeati; Candidatus Thorarchaeota.
GGGCCCGUGGCCUAGUAUGGAUAGGGCACUUGCCUCCUAAGCAAGUUGUCCCCGGUUCAAAUCCGGGCGGGCCCGCCA